UACAGAGGUCUCAAGCGUUGUUCGGAUUCAUUGGGCGUAAAGGGUGCGUAGGCGGUCGGGUAAGUCUGACGUGAAAUCUUCAAGCUCAACUUGGAAACUGCGUCGGAUACUAUUCGGCUAGAGGAAUGGAGGGGAGACUGGAAUACUUGGUGUAGCAGUGAAAUGCGUAGAUAUCAAGUGGAACACCAGUGGCGAAGGCGAGUCUCUGGACAUUUCCUGACGCUGAGGCACGAAAGCCAGGGGAGCAAACGGG
RNAcentral lists this ribosomal RNA (253 nucleotides) under uncultured bacterium. Its description in RNAcentral is "partial 16S ribosomal RNA". It matches the Rfam family "Bacterial small subunit ribosomal RNA", at positions 524 to 776 of the family's 1533-position model. The record is from RNAcentral.